GUCCAUGCCGUAAACGAUGUCUACUAGCCGUUGGGGCCUUUGAGGCUUUAGUGGCGCAGCUAACGCGAUAAGUAGACCGCCUGGGGAGUACGGUCGCAAGACUAAAACUCAAAUGAAUUGACGGGGGCCCCGCACAAGCGGUGGAGCAUGUGGUUUAAUUCGAUGCAACGCGAAGAACCUUACCUGGCCUUGACAUACUAGAAACUUUCCAGAGAUGGAUUGGUGCCUUCGGGAAUCUAGAUACAGGUGCUGCAUGGCUGUCGU
This 264-nucleotide ribosomal RNA is filed under the name uncultured bacterium. Its description in RNAcentral is "partial 16S ribosomal RNA". It matches the Rfam family "Bacterial small subunit ribosomal RNA", at positions 793 to 1055 of the family's 1533-position model. The record is from RNAcentral.